This 253-nucleotide ribosomal RNA is filed under the name uncultured bacterium. RNAcentral describes it as "partial 16S ribosomal RNA". It matches the Rfam family "Bacterial small subunit ribosomal RNA", at positions 524 to 776 of the family's 1533-position model. The record is from RNAcentral.
UACAGAGGUCUCAAGCGUUGUUCGGAUUCAUUGGGCGUAAAGGGUGUGUAGGUGGCGCUGUAAGUCGGGUGUGAAAUUUCGGAGCUUAACUCCGAAGCUGCAUUCGAUACUGCGGUGCUUGAGGACUGGAGAGGAGACUGGAAUUCAUGGUGUAGCAGUGAAAUGCGUAGAGAUCAUGAGGAAGACCAGUGGCGAAGGCGGGUCUCUGGACAGUUCCUGACACUGAGACACGAAGGCCAGGGGAGCAAACGGG